RNAcentral lists this ribosomal RNA (468 nucleotides) under uncultured bacterium. RNAcentral's name for it is "partial 16S ribosomal RNA". It matches the Rfam family "Bacterial small subunit ribosomal RNA", at positions 28 to 507 of the family's 1533-position model. The record is from RNAcentral.
GACGAACGCUGGCGGCGUGCUUAACACAUGCAAGUCGAACGGAAAGGCCCUGCUUUUGUGGGGUGCUCGAGUGGCGAACGGGUGAGUAACACGUGAGUAACCUGCCCUUGACUUUGGGAUAACUUCAGGAAACUGGGGCUAAUACCGGAUAGGAGCUCCUGCUGCAUGGUGGGGGUUGGAAAGUUUCGGCGGUUGGGGGUGGACUCGCGGCUUAUCAGCUUGUUGGUGGGGGAGUGGCUUACCAAGGCUUUGACGGGUAGCCGGCCUGAGAGGGUGACCGGCUACAUUGGGACUGAGCUACGGCCCAGACUCCUCCCGAUGGCAGCCGUCCGGAAUAUUGCACAAUAAUCGGAAUCAUGAUGCGACAACGCCGCGAGCGAGAUGACCGCCUUCCGGGUUUAAACCCCUUUUGCCUAUGACGUAGCGUGUGUGACGGUUAUCGCUAAAGAAGCACCGGCUAACUACGUG